AGUUCCAGUUUUGACAUUGGCCGAUAUUAUAUCCACUCACGCUGUCCCUUCUGAAAUCGAGUGUUCAUUUAACUGUCUCAAAGAGCAAACCUGUGUUGGAUUUAAAUACAAAUAUGAUACCAACAGUCCAUCAGUAAACUGUCUACUCAGCAGCACUACUGGAAAGAACAACUUGGCAAUAUAUGGCGAUCAAGGCUGGGUGUUUUUUAUGGACGUUAACGAA
Non-coding RNA from Paramuricea clavata, 223 nucleotides. The record is from the annotation of a GenBank genome assembly. Lineage: Eukaryota; Metazoa; Cnidaria; Anthozoa; Malacalcyonacea; Plexauridae.